RNAcentral lists this ribosomal RNA (484 nucleotides) under uncultured bacterium. RNAcentral's name for it is "bacterial SSU rRNA". It matches the Rfam family "Bacterial small subunit ribosomal RNA", at positions 366 to 869 of the family's 1533-position model. The record is from RNAcentral.
AGACAAUGGGGGCAACCCUGAUAUAGCCAUGCCGCGUGUGUGAUGAAGGCCCUAGGGUCGUAAAGCACUUUCGCCAGAGAUGAUAAUGACAGUAUCUGGUAAAGACUCCCGGGCUAACUCCGUGCCAGCAGCCGCGGUAAUACGGAGGGGGUUAGCGUUGUUCGGAAUUACUGGGCGUAAAGCGCACGUAGGCGGAUUAGUAAGUUAGAGGUGAAAUCCCAGGGCUCAACCCUGGAACUGCCUUUAAUACUGCUAGUCUUGAGUUCGAGAGAGCUAAGUGGAAUUCCGAGUGUAGAGGUGAAAUUCGUAGAUAUUCGGAGGAACACCAGUGGCGAAGGCGGCUUACUGGCUCGAUACUGACGCUGAGGUGCGAAAGUGUGGGGAGCAAACAGGAUUAGAUACCUUGGUAGUCCACACCGUAAACGAUGAAUGCCAGACGUCAGCAAGUAUACUUGUUGUGUCACACCUAACGGAUUAAGCAUCC